Molecule: ribosomal RNA, 1577 nt
Filed under: Holomastigotoides sp.
Lineage: Eukaryota; Parabasalia; Holomastigotoidida; Holomastigotoididae
Description: SSU rRNA
Rfam family: Eukaryotic small subunit ribosomal RNA
Source: RNAcentral
CCCAAUGUGGAAUUCGCCCUUGCGCUACCUGGUUGAUCCUGCCAAGGAAGCACACUAAGGCCGAAGAUUAAGCCAUGCAAGUGUUAGUUCAGGCAACGAAACUGCGAACAGCUCAUUAAUACGCGCAGAACCUAAUUGGUUUCGACUCAGUAGGGUCCUACAUGGAUAGCUGCAGCAAAUCUGGAGCUAAUACAUGCAGUACAACCACCUUAAGCGAGUUAAGGUGAGGACAUGACCGUAAGGCGUACCAUGCGGUUGAGCGCCCUAUCAGCUUGUACGUAGUGUCUGUUACUAUGUAGGCUGUCACGGGUGACGGGCGGUUAUCGUCGGACUGCCGGAGAAGGCGCCUGAGAGACAGCGGCUAUACCUAUGGGUAGCAGCAGGCGCGAAACUUACCCACUCGCCAACGGCGGAGGUGGUUACGGCCAGUUCCCAUCGUGUCCUCUGGACCGGGGGAUAGGGUCACGUCCUAUGAGCGUGGCGGAAUCUAGGAGAGGGCCAGUUCUGGUGCCAGCAGCUGCGGUAAUUCCAGCUCUCCGAGUUUGCUCCCAAUGCUACACUUAAAACGCCCGUAGUCUGAGUUCGAAGCGUGAAUAGCGCGUUCACCGUGAAUAAAUCAGUACGCUUAGAGUAGUUAACAACUGAAUGACUAAGCGCGGCAUGAAAGCUUUACCCGACCAGGGUCAGCUCAAUGAGAGCCAUCGGGGGUGGACCUACUCUGUGGCGAGGGGCUGAAUCUGUUGACCCGCGGGGGAGGAACAAAUGCGAAGGCAUCCACCUAGAGGGUAUCUGUCGAUCAAGGGCGAGAGCCGCAGUAGCCAACCGGAUUAGAGACCCGGGUAGUUGCGGCCUUAAACGAUGCCGACAGGGCCUGGUCGCGAGGCUGGGUUCGAGGAGAAAUCAUAGUCUCUGGGCUGUGGGGGAACUACGACCGCAAGGCUGAAACUUGAAGGGAUUGACGGAUGGGCACACCAGGCGUGGAGUUUGCGGCCUAAUUUGACUCAACACGAGGCAACUUACCAGGACCAGAGGGGUAGAUGAUGGACAGACUGCCGGUCUUUCCGAAUUGCCCCGUCGGUGGUGCAUGGCCGUUGUUGGUCCGUGGAUUGGUCUGUCAUUCGUCGAUUCAGGUAACGAGCGAGACUACCGCUGCUUACCUAGGGUUGGGCUCGUCAGAGCUUCAGCUCUUCUAAGUGGGACUCCCUGCGUUUAAGCAGGCGGAAGAGGGUAGCAAUAACAGGUCCGUGAUGUCCUUUAGAUGCCCUGGGCUGCACGCGCACUACAAUGCUAGGAUCAAAGGGAUGCUAACCCGAAACGGCAUGCCACUCCCUCAGUACCUAGCGUAGUUAGGAUCGAGGAUUGUAAUCAUCUUCGUGAAUCAGGAAUGCCUUGUAAACGUGUUUCACCAGAGCGCGUUGAAUACGUCCCUGCCCUUUGUACACACCGCCCGUCGCUCCUACCGAUUGGAUGGAUCGGUGAAGCUGUUGGAGGAGCAAUCCAAAGGCAGUUGAGCCCAUCGAUUUAGAGGAAGGAGAGGUCGUAACAAGGUAACAGUAGGUGAACCUGCAGAAGGAUCA